Molecule: ribosomal RNA, 447 nt
Filed under: uncultured bacterium
Lineage: Bacteria
Description: partial 16S ribosomal RNA
Rfam family: Bacterial small subunit ribosomal RNA
Source: RNAcentral
AGCGAACGCUGGCGGCAGGCUUAACACAUGCAAGUCGAACGGUCCUUCGGGAUAGUGGCGGACGGGUGAGUAACACGUGGGAACGUACCCUUAGGUUCGGAACAACACAGGGAAACUUGUGCUAAUACCGGAUAAGCCCUUCGGGGGAAAGAUUUAUCGCCUUUGGAGCGGCCCGCGUCCGAUUAGCUUGUUGGUGAGGUAAUGGAUCACCAAGGCUACGAUCAGUAGCUGGUCUGAGGGGAUGGCCAGCCACACUGGGACUGAGACACGGCCCAGACUCCUACGGGAGGCAGCAGUGGGGAAUCUUGCGCAAUGGGCGAAAGCCUGACGCAGCCAUGCCGCGUGGAUGAUGAAGGUCUUAGGAUUGUAAAAUCCUUUCACCGGGGACGAUAAUGACGGUACCCGGAGAAGAAGCCCCGGCUAACUUCGUGCCAGCCGCCGCAGUAA